This 614-nucleotide small RNA is filed under the name Pan troglodytes (chimpanzee). RNAcentral describes it as "retained intron". The record is from RNAcentral. Lineage: Eukaryota; Metazoa; Chordata; Mammalia; Primates; Hominidae.
GAUCUCCAACCCUUGGAGGGACAGACUGUUAACAUCCUCAUUUGUAGAUGAGGAUGAGGCUAAGAGGAAUUAAGUAACUUGCUCAAGGUCAAACAGGUGACAGAGCCAGAAUUCCAAACCAGCCUAGUCUGGAAUAUUCCAGAUACCACACUCUUCACAGGUUCCCAACACUUGAACAUAAACACUCAAUAAUCUGUAUAAUACAUCAAGUGCCCACUUUUCUUAUUGUCAUCUUUGUAUUAAUUCAAAAUUGGCUUUUGUAUCCAGGGCUGGGAAGAAACGGUGGAUGCCGCCAUUUCCCACCUGUUGAAGACUUGCCUGUCGAAGAGUUCUAAGGAGCAGGCUAUGAACCUCAACAGCCAGCUGAACAUACCCAAAGACACAAGCCAACUGAAGAAACAUAUCACCUUGCUCUGCGAUAGAUUAGCCAAAGGUGGCCGUCUCUGCCUAAGUACCGAUGCAGCAGCCCCACAGACCAUGGUCAUGCCAGGUGGUUGUACUACAAUCCCAGAGUCAGACCUAGAAGAAAGAUCAGUAGAACAAGACUCUACAGAACUGUUUACCAACCACAGACAUCUCACUGCAGAGACACCCAGGCCUGAAGUUUCACCCCU